GUGCAGUGCAAUGUGUUGUUUUACAGGGUCAGUCAUAGUAGUAUGAUAGGUGCAGUGUAAUGUGUUGUUUUACAGGCUCAGCCAUAGUAGUAUGAUAGGUGCAGUGAAAUGUGUUGUUUUACAGGGUCAGUCAUAGUAGUAUGAUAGGUGCAGUGAAAUGUGUUGUUUUACAGGGUCAGCCAUAGUAGUAUGAUAGGUGCAGUGAAAUGUGUUGUUUUACAGGGUCAGUCAUAGUAGUAUGAUAGGUGCAGUGAAAUGUGUUGUUUUACAGGGUCAGUCAUAGUAGUAUGAUAGGUGAAGUGAAAUGUGUUGUUUUACAGGGUCAGUCAUAGUAGUAUGAUAGGUGCAGUGUAAUGUGUUGUUUUACAGUCUCAGUCAUAGUAGUAUGAUAGGUGCAGUGAAAUGUGUUGUUUUACAGGGUCAGUCAUAGUAGUAUGAUAGGUGCAGUGUAAUGUGUUGUUUUACAGGGUCAGUCAUAGUAGUAUGAUAGGUGCAGUGUAAUGUGUUGUUUUUCAGGGUCAGUCAUAGUAGUAUGAUAGGUGCAGUGUAAUGUGUUGUUUUACAGGGUCAGCCAUAGUAGUACGAUAGGUGCAGUGUAAUGUGUUCUUUUACAGGGUCAGCCAUAGUAGUACGAUAGGUGCAGUGUAAUGUGUUGUUUUACAGGGUCAGCCAUAGUAGUACGAUAGGUGUAGUGUAAUGUGUUCUUUUACAGGGUCAGCCAUAGUAGUACGAUAGGUGCAGUGUAAUGUGUUGUUUUACAGGGUCAGUCAUAGUAGUACGAUAGGUGCAGUGUAAUGUGUUGUUUUACAGGGUCAGCCAUAGUAGUAUGAUAGGUGCAGUGUAAUGUGUUGUUUUACAGGGUCAGCCAUAGUAGUAUGAUCGGUGCAGUGUAAUGUGUUCUUUUACAGGGUCAGCCAUAGUAGUACGAUAGGUGCAGUGUAAUGUGUUGUUUUACAGGGUCAGCCAUAGUAGUAUGAUAGGUGCAGUGUAAUGUGUUGUUUUACAGGGUCAGCCAUAGUAGUAUGAUAGGUGCAGUGUAAUGUGUUGUUUUACAGGGUCAGUCAUAGUAGUAUGAUAGGUGCAGUGUAAUGUGUUGUUUUACAGUCUCAGCCAUAGUAGUAUGAUAGGUGCAGUGUAAUGUGUUGUUUUACAGGGUCAGCCAUAGUAGUAUGAUAGGUGCAGUGUAAUGUGUUGUUUUACAGUCUCAGCCAUAGUAGUAUGAUAGGUGCAGUGUAAUGUGUUGUUUUACAGGGUCAGCCAUAGUAGUAUGAUAGGUGCAGUGUAAUGUGUUGUUUUACAGGGUCAGCCAUAGUAGUAUGAUAGGUGCAGUGAAAUGUGUUGUUUUACAGGGUCAGUCAUAGUAGUAUGAUAGGUGCAGUGUAAUGUGUUGUUUUAC
RNAcentral lists this long non-coding RNA (1396 nucleotides) under Salmo salar (Atlantic salmon). RNAcentral's name for it is "lncRNA (ENSSSAG00000098782.1)". The record is from RNAcentral. Lineage: Eukaryota; Metazoa; Chordata; Actinopteri; Salmoniformes; Salmonidae.